UACGUAGGGGGCAAGCGUUGUCCGGAAUUAUUGGGCGUAAAGAGCGUGUAGGCGGCCAGAUAAGUCCGCUGUGAAAUCUCGAGGCUCAACUUCGAGCUGUCGGUGGAAACUAUCUGGCUAGAGUCCGGUAGGGGAGUGUGGAAUUCCCGGUGUAGCGGUGAAAUGCGCAGAUAUCGGGAGGAACACCGAUGGCGAAGGCAGCACUCUGGGCCGGUACUGACGCUGAGGAGCGAAAGCGUGGGGAGCGAACAGG
This 253-nucleotide ribosomal RNA is filed under the name uncultured bacterium. RNAcentral describes it as "partial 16S ribosomal RNA". It matches the Rfam family "Bacterial small subunit ribosomal RNA", at positions 524 to 776 of the family's 1533-position model. The record is from RNAcentral.